CAGCCGUAAACGAUGUGCGUUAGGUGUAUCGACGACCACGAGUCGUCGAGGUGCCGAAGGGAAACCGUGAAACGUACCGCCUGGGAAGUACGGUCGCAAGGCUGAAACUUAAAGGAAUUGGCGGGGGAGCACCACAACAGGUGGAGCCUGCGGUUUAAUUGGACUCAACGCCGGGAAGCUCACCGGAUAGGACAGCAGAAUGAUUGCCGGGCUGAAGACCCUGCAUGACUAGCUGAGAGGUGGUGCAUGGCGUCAGUGACU
This 261-nucleotide ribosomal RNA is filed under the name uncultured archaeon. RNAcentral's name for it is "partial 16S ribosomal RNA". It matches the Rfam family "Archaeal small subunit ribosomal RNA", at positions 748 to 1008 of the family's 1478-position model. The record is from RNAcentral.